Molecule: long non-coding RNA, 728 nt
Organism: Fopius arisanus
Lineage: Eukaryota; Metazoa; Arthropoda; Insecta; Hymenoptera; Braconidae
Exons: 3
Source: RefSeq, a predicted model, not a curated record
GGUUAUAAAUAAUCGUAAAAGUAACGUCAUUCUCGUAGAAGCGGUUGCGGUUGAGGGCCCGAUAGGUCCCCACCUUUUACCCACCUCUCGUUUAGAGUGACACGAUAUAAGAGGUGAGGCUUGUGUUUGGUCGAGAAAGUAUAUGUUCGAGCUAGUUUGACGUUAAAUAAUGUUUCGCCAUCGGUGGGCCCCGGCUAAACCCAACCACAAGAAUGUUUCGUGCAAAUCCCAGUGAGGGCUGGGUCAUCGCAAAUCGAUAGUCAAUUGAUCACCAGAACACGGUACGAAUGAGACUCCAGGGAGAAAUUGGUGCAGUACACACCACUGGAGACUGAGCAUCUCUACAAAGCUUCGAAGACGGCCAAGAAGACCUCAUUCCAAAGUCUCAGGAUUUAGCGCCUCUCUGUUUUAACGAUGGCAUUAAUAACGACUUGUACGAUGCUGGAAGCCCAUGAAGACAAUGGAGUCACAAAGGAAAAAUAAUUUUCCAAGUGACAUUGUGAUUUUCAACGAUAGGUGUUACACUUGUGAAGCACUUAAGUGAAUUAUCAAUCUUGCUGAAAGCUGCCUGAAGGUAGUAUGAACAGAGAGGGGGAGCCAUGACAAAGGGUUUCUCUCCAUUUUAGUAUAAACAUUUCUCAAGCUCACAGCACUAUUUGAAUAAUUAUCAAAGUAAUAUGUUAUCAAAGUAAUACGUUAUCCACUCAAUUUUAUUGAGGGAACGAGUU